Molecule: microRNA, 20 nt
Filed under: Gorilla gorilla (western gorilla)
Lineage: Eukaryota; Metazoa; Chordata; Mammalia; Primates; Hominidae
Also listed under: 2 other names
Description: ggo-miR-548c
Gene: ggo-miR-548c
Source: miRBase by way of RNAcentral
AAAAGUACUUGCGGAUUUUG